GCAUAUCCAAUAAGCGGAGGAAAAGAAACUAACAAGGGAUUCCCCCUAGUAACUGCGAGUGAAGCGGGAAGAGCUCAAAUUUUGAAUCUGGCGGUCCUCGUGGCCGUCCGAGUUGUAAUCUAGAGAAGUGUUUUCCGCGCUGGACCGUGUACAAGUCUCCUGGAAGGGAGCGUCGUAGAGGGUGAGAAUCCCGUCUUUGACACGGACUACCAGUGCUCUGUGAUGCGCUCUCGACGAGUCGAGUUGUUUGGGAAUGCAGCUCAAAUUGGGUGGUAAAUUCCAUCUAAAGCUAAAUAUAGGCGAGAGACCGAUAGCGAACAAGUACCGUGAGGGAAAGAUGAAAAGAACUUUGGAAAGAGAGUUAAACAGUACGUGAAAUUGCUGAAAGGGAAACGCUUGAUGUCAGUCGCGUUGGCUGGGGAUCAACCUUGCUUCUCGCUGGGUGUAUUUCCUGGUUGACGGGUCAGCAUCAGUUUCGAUCGCCGUACAAGGGCGGAGGGAAUGUGGCAUUCUUCGGAGUGUGUUAUAGCCUUUCGUCGUAUGCGGUGACUGGGACUGAGGAACUCAGCAUGACCCCUCGAGGGUUCGGGGCUUCGGCCUACGUUCGUGCUUAGGAUGCUGGCAUAAUGGCCUUAAGCGACCCGUCUUGAAACACGGACCAAGGAGUCUAACAUGCCUGCGAGUGUUUGGGUGGAAAACCCGAGCGCGUAAUGAAAGUGAAAGUUGAGACCUCUGUCGUGGAGGGCAUCGACGCCCGGACUUGAGCCUUUGGCGACGGAUCUGCGGUAGAGCAUGUAUGUUGGGACCCGAAAGAUGGUGAACUAUGCCUGAAUAGGGUGAAGCCAGAGGAAACUCUGGUGGAAGCUCGUAGCGAUUCUGACGUGCAAAUCGAUCGUCGAAUUUGGGUAUAGGGCGAAAGACUAAUCGAACCAUUCUAGUAGCUGGUUCCUGCCGAAGU
Molecule: ribosomal RNA, 958 nt
Filed under: Leucogyrophana pinastri
Lineage: Eukaryota; Fungi; Basidiomycota; Agaricomycetes; Boletales
Description: LSU rRNA
Rfam family: Eukaryotic large subunit ribosomal RNA
Source: RNAcentral